Molecule: transfer RNA, 76 nt
Filed under: Alphaproteobacteria bacterium
Lineage: Bacteria; Pseudomonadati; Pseudomonadota; Alphaproteobacteria
Description: tRNA-Ala
Rfam family: tRNA
About the family: Transfer RNA (tRNA) molecules are approximately 80 nucleotides in length. Their secondary structure includes four short double-helical elements and three loops (D, anti-codon, and T loops).
Source: RNAcentral
GGGCCCGUAGCUCAGCUGGGAGAGCGUUGCACUGGCAGUGCAAAGGUCGGCGGUUCGAUCCCGCUCGGGUCCACCA